Non-coding RNA from Apodospora peruviana, 117 nucleotides. The record is from the annotation of a GenBank genome assembly. Lineage: Eukaryota; Fungi; Ascomycota; Sordariomycetes; Sordariales; Lasiosphaeriaceae.
UCUUCCGUAGUAUAGUGGUCAGUAUAUGAGCUUGUCAUCAUCAAUUUCUCCGCCCACCCAGUUUGGCCCGAUCGACGACAUCCGCUCGGGACCCGGGUUCAAUUCCCGGCGGGAGAG